RNAcentral lists this non-coding RNA (23 nucleotides) under Cricetulus griseus (Chinese hamster). The record is from RNAcentral. Lineage: Eukaryota; Metazoa; Chordata; Mammalia; Rodentia; Cricetidae.
AACUGUGGUGGCUGGAUAAUUAC